RNAcentral lists this transfer-messenger RNA (346 nucleotides) under fish gut metagenome. It matches the Rfam family "transfer-messenger RNA". Rfam says of the family: Bacterial tmRNA, also known as 10Sa RNA or SsrA, is named for its dual tRNA and mRNA-like properties. Its role is to liberate the mRNA from a stalled ribosome. To accomplish this part of the tmRNA is used as a reading frame that ends in a translation stop signal. The record is from RNAcentral.
GGGGAUGUACCGGUUUCGACGGGGAUAGGUGGUGUAUGAUAAGCGAGCCGUGAUUCCAUUAACACGUUAAACGGUGGACGUUUAAAUUUAAACGCAGAUUCAAAUUACGCUUUAGCAGCUUAAUGCUAACAUCCUUCUGAUCCGCCUCCCGUAGGAGAGGAAAGGAUGACGCUAUUCGGGAUCGUUCAAAGAAUUGUUUGGCUUCUUUGAAUUAAAUCUACAAACUAGCAACUUAAAAGCCUGUCUUUUGGCGAUUAAGAAGCGAAACUUAAAUAAAAGACUGCGCUCGGAGAAAGUUAUAUAACAAUAUUUUCGGACAGGGGUUCGACUCCCCUCAUCUCCACCA